This 775-nucleotide ribosomal RNA is filed under the name Bacteroides finegoldii. RNAcentral's name for it is "bacterial SSU rRNA". It matches the Rfam family "Bacterial small subunit ribosomal RNA", at positions 637 to 1415 of the family's 1533-position model. The record is from RNAcentral. Lineage: Bacteria; Pseudomonadati; Bacteroidota; Bacteroidia; Bacteroidales; Bacteroidaceae.
CAGUCUUGAGUCCAGUAGAGGUGGCAGGAAUUCGUGGUGUAGCGGUGAAAUGCUUAGAUAUCACGAAGAACUCCGAUUGCGAAGGCAGCUCACUGGACUGCAACUGACACUGAUGCUCGAAAGUGUGGGUAUCAAACAGGAUUAGAUACCCUGGUAGUCCACACAGUAAACGAUGAAUACUCGCUGUUUGCGAUAUACAGUAAGCGGCCAAGCGAAAGCAUUAAGUAUUCCACCUGGGGAGUACGCCGGCAACGGUGAAACUCAAAGGAAUUGACGGGGGCCCGCACAAGCGGAGGAACAUGUGGUUUAAUUCGAUGAUACGCGAGGAACCUUACCCGGGCUUAAAUUGCAGUGGAAUGAUGUGGAAACAUGUCAGUGAGCAAUCACCGCUGUGAAGGUGCUGCAUGGUUGUCGUCAGCUCGUGCCGUGAGGUGUCGGCUUAAGUGCCAUAACGAGCGCAACCCUUAUCUUCAGUUACUAACAGGUCAUGCUGAGGACUCUGGAGAGACUGCCGUCGUAAGAUGUGAGGAAGGUGGGGAUGACGUCAAAUCAGCACGGCCCUUACGUCCGGGGCUACACACGUGUUACAAUGGGGGGUACAGAAGGCAGCUAGCGGGUGACCGUAUGCUAAUCCCAAAAUCCUCUCUCAGUUCGGAUCGAAGUCUGCAACCCGACUUCGUGAAGCUGGAUUCGCUAGUAAUCGCGCAUCAGCCACGGCGCGGUGAAUACGUUCCCGGGCCUUGUACAGGCCGCCCGUCAAGCCAUGAGAGCCGGG